Non-coding RNA from Phrynosoma platyrhinos (Desert horned lizard), 72 nucleotides. NCBI's taxonomy places the organism in Eukaryota, Metazoa, Chordata, Lepidosauria, Squamata, Phrynosomatidae. The record is from the annotation of a GenBank genome assembly.
GUCAGUGUGGCAUAGUGGUUUGAGCACUGGACUACAACCUUGGAAACCGGGGUUCAAUUCCCUGCUUGAACA